GACGAACCGUCCAAACGUUAUUCGGAAUCACUGGGCUUAAAGGGCGCGUAGGCGGCCGAGCGGGUCACGGGUGAAAUCCUCCAGCUUAACUGGAGAACUGCCCUUGAUACCACUGCGGCUCGAGGAAGGAAGGGGCAAUCGGAACUGUCGGUGGAGCGGUGAAAUGCGUUGAUAUCGACAGGAACGCCGGUGGCGAAAGCGGAUUGCUGGUCCUUUUCCGACGCUGAGGCGCGAAAGCCAGGGGAGCAAACGGG
RNAcentral lists this ribosomal RNA (254 nucleotides) under uncultured bacterium. Its description in RNAcentral is "partial 16S ribosomal RNA". It matches the Rfam family "Bacterial small subunit ribosomal RNA", at positions 524 to 776 of the family's 1533-position model. The record is from RNAcentral.